RNAcentral lists this non-coding RNA (796 nucleotides) under Graphosoma rubrolineatum. Lineage: Eukaryota; Metazoa; Arthropoda; Insecta; Hemiptera; Pentatomidae. The record is from RNAcentral.
AUUUAAUUAUUAAUAAACUUGAUUCUAGUUUUUAUAGAUAUUUUAUUGAUGGUUAUAAUAUGUAAGUUUUUGCGUGAUUUGGAUUCUAUUUUAAAAAUAGGAUUUUGUUAUUUAAUCGCAGUUUUUAAUGUUAUAUAUUAAAUUAUUUUAGAUAUAGUCAAUCAAUUUUAUAACUAGCAAAAAUUGUGCCAGCAGCUGCGGUUAUACAAUUAGUUAAAGUUAUCUUUUUUGGGAUUUUAUUUUAUUUAUUAGUUGGCUAUAAAUUUAUGUUUUUUAAGUGAAAUUUAAUAUUUAAUUAAUGGUUUGGUUAUUUUAUAUUAUAAGAAAUUUUUAAUAUUAAACUAGGAUUAGAUACCCUAUUAUUUUAAACUUAAAUUUUUAUCCUCAGUAUUAUAAGUUAUGAUCUUUAAAUUGAAAGAAUUUGACGGUAAUUUUAAUCAUUUUAGAGGAACCUGUUCUGUAAUCGAUAAUCCACGAUAAAUUUUACUUUGAUUAUAUUGUUUGUAUAUCUCUGUCUGAUUGAAUGUUUUAUUAGAAUAUUUUCUUAAAUUUUUAUUGAAUUUUAUGUCAGGUCAAGGUGCAACUAUAUUAAAGUUUGAAAUGGGUUACAUUUAAUUUUAAAUUAUUGGUUUAGUUUAUUUAUUUAAGCUAUUAAAUUGGAUUUAAUUGUAAUAGGUAAUAUAUAUUAUUUAUGAUAUAUGUUCUCGAUUAACGUACAUAUCGCCCGUCACUCUCAUUAUAAGAUGAGAUAAGUCGUAACAAAGUAGUCCUAUCGGAAGAUGGGGCUGGAAUUAUA